GCUAGAAUUGUCCCCUUGGAAAGGGUGACCAAGUACCUAGAUGUGCCCUAGACAGAGGAGUUUCCUGAGACCUAGCACUUUCCAUUUUAAACGGGGACGGUGGUGGGCAAACCUGGAUGGUUGGUCACCAUCCCUCCUGGGAAUCCUCCCCCCACAACUACCUUCACUCUGAGAAGGAAAGUGUAAGUGCACUAUAUCCUGGCCACAGUGGAGAAUGCCAGCUCCCAGAUGGAGCUUAAUUGUCUCUUCUCCCUUGAAUGUGGCUGCACUGAGUGACUCACUGCCAAAGAAUAGAGUAUGGAAAGGGGAAAAAUAGUAACUUUACAGGAGACAAAUCUGACAAACAAACACCUGCUUUAAUCAAGUGACCAGGGUAUCAAGUCACCAGCUGAUAUCACGUGAUGAAAGAGGCACUUCACCUAUGUGGUAUUCUCCCUCAAAGCAACCCACCCCAGUCUGGUCAUGGGAAGAAGUCCAAACUGAGGGAUGUUCUACAAAAUACCUGACUAAUACUCUUCAAAACUGUCAAGGUGAUUUAAAAAAGAAGACCAAAAAACAAAAACAAAAACAAAAAACAAAAAACAACAACAACAAGGAAAGACUGAGAAACUGUCACAAGAGAGGCUCAGGAGAUGUGACUAAAUACAAUGUGCUAUACUGGAUUGGGUCCAGAAAGAGAAAAAAGAUAUUAGUGGGAAAAUUGUUGAAAUUUGAAUGAAGAAUCUGGAGUUUCCAUAAUAGUAAUGUAUGAAUGUUCGUUUCUUAGUUUUGAUGUACUAUGGGUACGUAUGAUGCUAAUGUUAGAGGAAAUCGGGCGAAGGGUAUAUGAGAACUCCCUGUGCCAUCAUGACAACUUCUCUGUGAAUCUAAAAUUAUCCCCAAAUAAAAGGUUUACCUGA
Molecule: long non-coding RNA, 899 nt
Organism: Neofelis nebulosa (Clouded leopard)
Lineage: Eukaryota; Metazoa; Chordata; Mammalia; Carnivora; Felidae
Exons: 2
Source: RefSeq, a predicted model, not a curated record